This 468-nucleotide ribosomal RNA is filed under the name uncultured bacterium. RNAcentral describes it as "partial 16S ribosomal RNA". It matches the Rfam family "Bacterial small subunit ribosomal RNA", at positions 28 to 507 of the family's 1533-position model. The record is from RNAcentral.
GACGAACGCUGGCGGCGUGCUUAACACAUGCAAGUCGAACGGAAAGGCCCUGCUUUUGUGGUGUGCUCGAGUGGCGAACGGGUGAGUAACACGUGAGUAACCUGCCCUUUACUUUGGGAUAACUUCAGGAAACUGGGGCUAAUACCGGAUAGGAGCUCCUGCUGCAUGGUGGGGGUUGGAAAGUUUCGGCGGUUGGGGAUGGACUCGCGGCUUAUCAGCUUGUUGGUGGGGUAGUGGCUUACCAAGGCUUUGACGGGUAGCCGGCCUGAGAGGGUGACCGGCCACAUUGGGACUGAGAUACGGCCGAGACUCCUACGGGAGGCAGCAGUGGGGAAUAUUGCACAAUGGGCGGAAGCCUGAUGCAGCAACGCCGCGUGCGGGAUGACGGCCUUCGGGUUGUAAACCGCUUUCGCCUGUGACGAAGCGUGAGUGACGGUAAUGGGUAAAGAAGCACCGGCUAACUACGUG